AUUUGAUUGCUUUAUAAUCAGUAAGACCUGCUCAAUGACUUUUAAAUAGCCGCGAUUUUCGUGCUAAGGUAGCAUAAUCAAUUGCCUUUUAAAUGGAGGCUAGAAUGAAAGGUUUUACAUAUAAAAUCCUUUAUUGACAAUACUUCUUUAAACUAAUUUAUAAAUAAAAAAGUUUAUAUUUUCUAGGAGGACGACAAGACCCUGUCGAGCUUUACUUUAGUUUCACUGGGGAGGUGAAAAAAUUAUUAUCUUUUUUUUCUGGAAAAAAAGAAAAUAAUGAAAGAACUUUGAACUAGCUACCGCAGGGAUAACAGCACAAUUAAUUUUAGGAGAUCCUAUCUUAAAACUAGAUUAUGACCUCGAUGUUGAAUUAAAUUUCCUUUUGGAGAAGAAGCUAAUAAGGAAAGUCUGUUCGACUUUUAAAAUUUU
This 429-nucleotide ribosomal RNA is filed under the name Conothele sp. MYG546. Its description in RNAcentral is "partial 16S ribosomal RNA". It matches the Rfam family "Bacterial large subunit ribosomal RNA", at positions 1831 to 2597 of the family's 2925-position model. The record is from RNAcentral. Lineage: Eukaryota; Metazoa; Arthropoda; Arachnida; Araneae; Ctenizidae.